Molecule: ribosomal RNA, 756 nt
Filed under: uncultured marine haptophyte
Lineage: Eukaryota; Haptophyta
Description: bacterial SSU rRNA
Rfam family: Bacterial small subunit ribosomal RNA
Source: RNAcentral
GAAUCAUUGGGCGUAAAGCGCCUGUAGGUUGUUUAAUAAGUCUGUUGUUAAAGACUAGGGCUUAACCCUAGAAAAGCAAUGGAAGCUACUAGACUAGAGUAUGGCAGGGGUAGAGGGAAUUCCUAGUGUAGCGGUGAAAUGCGUAGAUAUUAGAAAGAACACCGGUGGCGAAAGCGCUCUACUGGACCAUUACUGACACUCAGAGGCGAAAGCUAGGGUAGCAAAAGGGAUUAGAUACCCCUGUAGUCCUAGCCGUAAACGAUGGAUACUAGAUGUUGUGCAUAAUGUACAGUAUCGUAGCUAACGCGUUAAGUAUCCCGCCUGGGGAGUACGCUCGCAAGGGUGAAACUCAAAGGAAUUGACGGGGGCCCGCACAAGCGGUGGAGCAUGUGGUUUAAUUCGAUGCAACGCGAAGAACCUUACCAGGGCUUGACAUACUACAAAUUCUUUUGAGAAAAAGAAGUGCCUUCGGGAAUGUAGAUACAGGUGGUGCAUGGCUGUCGUCAGCUCGUGUCGUGAGAUGUUGGGUUAAGUCCCGCAACGAGCGCAACCCUUAUUUUUAGUUACUAAUUCGUUAGGUUCUCUAGAAAGACUGCCGGUGACAGACCGGAGGAAGGUGAGGAUGACGUCAAGUCAGCAUGCCCCUUAUGUCCUGGGCUACACACGUGCUACAAUGGUUAAGACAAAGAGUCGCGAGCUCGCGAGAGUCAGCUAAUCUCAUAAACUUAGCCUAAGUUCAGAUUGUAGGCUGCAACU